AUGGCCAACACACAGGCACGUCCCGGACCCCUCGAAUCACUGGAAGCGAUGUCGCCUCUUCAAGUUUAUUCUCGGCAAGUUCAAGCUUAUCACAGUGAUGGUUAUGAGUCUGUCCAUGACCACAUUCUUUGUACUCAAGACGGUUUCAGCACCUUGUUUUACUCCAUAUCCUUGGAGAUCCUCGAUAUUAUCGUGCAGCUGAAUGACACUGCUUGCUUCUUCUGGAAGCGCUCAAGGGCUUUAUUCAGUGACAAUAGUACUUCUGCUAUCUAUAUCGAGAACAAGUUUCACUCUUCCCAUUGCUUGAACACACCUGUCAUUAUAACAAUCUUUGCACCAUGGUCAGCCUGUCUGAGACAUGAUGCUCAGUCAGAACAUGUCGUGAGGCCUCAGCCCCUGAAAUUCUUGACCUCGAUAAAGGCUGCUUUGUCAAUCUUCGGGUUGAGACCCUGUAACACUUUCAGCACAAGCAUCUUAGUGGAGAAGGGCUGA
RNAcentral lists this ribosomal RNA (492 nucleotides) under Triticum aestivum (bread wheat). RNAcentral describes it as "partial small subunit ribosomal RNA". The record is from RNAcentral. Lineage: Eukaryota; Viridiplantae; Streptophyta; Magnoliopsida; Poales; Poaceae.